RNAcentral lists this long non-coding RNA (3449 nucleotides) under Citrus maxima (pomelo). Its description in RNAcentral is "long non-coding RNA (CMAX_LNC004134)". Lineage: Eukaryota; Viridiplantae; Streptophyta; Magnoliopsida; Sapindales; Rutaceae. The record is from RNAcentral.
UUUGCAAAUUAAAUUAAUUAAUAAAAAUGGAUAUCAUCAAAAAAACUAAAAACAAUUAAUAUUAAUUAACAUCCAUUGAAUCCAAGAAAUUAAUUUCAAAAUAAAUACAUCUAGUAUCCAUGUCAUCACCACCAAUAUAUAAUAAAACAUCCCAAAUUAAAAAGGAUCAAACCAAAAUAUAAAACAAUAGUUAAAUUCCAAUUAAACUUCAAGAAAAAUUCAAAUUCCAGCCACUAAGCCAAGUUUUCCAACAAAACUUCCAAAGAUUCAUGGAAAUAUUCUAGCAGCAAGACUUCCAGCAGCAAUACCCUCUUCCAGCGGCAACACUCCAAUAGCCACGUACCCAGCAACACUUCAAGCCACUGUAAUUCCAGCCAUAUACCCACCAUCUUCCAACACCACUGUAAUUUCAGUCAUAUACCCAGCAAUAUUCCAACCCAAACCCAGCAAAGAAAUCUAUUCAAAAUUAAUCAAAAUACCCAAUGUUAUCGAAUGCAGAACAUGCACACUACAACCGUUAACAACAACUACUAUAAUUUGACACUACAACUUUAAUUUCAACAAAUUGCAACAUAAAAUUUUCAAAAAUGAAAGACCUAGUUACAAAAUGUACUUCAUGCAUUCGGGCAACCAAUGAAAGUAAUAAACUAGGAAAAGAAUAAAAAUCUAUUUAGUAGCAUAGUCCCUAUAAUCCACAAAAAACAUAGAAAAGUUGAACCUACAGCAUAGAUUUCCAAAUAGAAAAACAAACUAUAUAUAAUUCAAACCUUUGGAAUAGAUGGGCAUAAGUAGGAGUUGGAAAUAAUAAAUAAGAACUAAAAAGCUCAAUAAAUACUAGUGUAAUGUGUUCCAAAAUUCCUUUAAAAGCAUAGGAACAUUUCCACAACAAAAGCACAAAAAAUUGGGGAAAAAAAAGAUAAGACUAUCUAAAUUUCUUGUGCAUGUGUAACAUAGAUAGAAAUAAGAAGUGAGAAAAGAGACAGAAAAACACUCAAAUCCCUCAAGAUAAAUAGCCUUCACAUUCCUAUAAAAUUUGAAACACGCUGACAUCACUGCAACAAAAUUUGGCAAAACAAAAAACAAAGUUAAAGACCCCCCCCCCCCCCAUUUCAGCAAAGUCCUUGUUAUUCCACAAAAGCAAGAAACAUCUCACUAUCACUGCAACACAAAAUUUGCACAAAUGGUAACCAAAUUACAAGUUGAUUUUAUGUGUCUACACAGCUAGAAAGAGGAGUAAUAAACUAGAAGAUUUAAAAACUCAAUAUAUUAACCAAAUUACUAGUUGAUUUUACGUUCUUAAGAAAAGAAUAAAAAUCUAUUUAGUAGCAUAGUCCAAUAAUCCACAAUAACAUAGAACUGUUGUCCCUGAGGCAUAGAUUUCCAAAUAGAAAAAAUAAUAAUAAUAAUUUGAACCUUUAAGAGCAAGAAAUAACAAAUAAGAACUAAAAAGCUCAACGUGUUCUAAGAUUCCCUUAAAAACAGAGGAACAUUUUCACAACUACAGCAUAAAAAAUUGGGGUAAGAAAAAAAAAAAGGAAGACUAAUAUACUAUCUGAACUUUAUGUGCUUGUGUAACAUAGAUAGAAAUGACAAGUGAGAUAAGAGACAAAAACAGUCAAAUCCUUCAAGAUAAAUAACCUUCACAUUCCUUAAAAAUUUGAAACACGCUGGCAUCACUGCAACAAGAUUUGGCAAAACAAAAAACAAAAUUAGAGACCCUCUAUUUAGAACAAUCCCAGUUAUUCCACAAAAGCAAGAAACUUCUCACUAUCACUGCAACAUAAAUUUGCACAAAUGAUAACCAAAUUACAAGUUGAUUUUGUAUGUCCAGACAGUUAGAAAAAGCAGUGAUAAACUAGAAGAUUAAAAAUGUCAAUAGACUAACUAAAUUACAAGUUGAUUUAACAUGUUUAGACAACCACAAAGCGGAGUAAUAAACUAGAAAGAAGAAUAAGAAAACUCAUUAGACGUGCCCUUGAGUAGUUGAAUUGUUGAUACUCCUCAAAAACUAAGAAUAUUUAUCAACAACAAAAAAAAAUUGCAAAAUAUGGAAAGGCCGAAAAUAACUCUUUAUAGACACCCUCUCGUAGGAUAGUUCCGAUACUCAUAAAAAACUAUCCAUUUCUCUUACACUGCAUCACAAAAAAAAAAAAAAAAUUGCUCUAAAGCAUUCAUAAUAUAAGAGAUAAACUAAGGAGAGGUAGAGGCAAGAAAAAGAAACGCAUUACAAAGUCCCAAAUAGCAGAGUCUAGAUAAUUCACAAAAAUUACGAACAUGCCAAUCACUACAACAAAAAUUUGCAAAAAUGAAAAACCAAAACAUAACCGCAACUUUAUAAAUUUCAUGUAUUCAAAGAUACAAGUGCAAACUAAGAAACAAUCUGAAAAAACUCACCAGAAGCCGAGUACUACAAUCCCAAUACUCCUUAAGAACUCAGACCAUUUCUUUAACACAGCUGCAUAAAGCUUUGCAACAGGGACAUGACCAACAUACACAUUGCUUUGGAAGGAUUUAAAUGGUUAACUAAGAAAAGGUCAAAUAUACCUCUUUAUAGACACCUUCCAGUAGGGUAGUUCUAAUAAACUAAUCAUUUCUCUUACCCUGCAACAUAAAAAAUAUUGCUCUAAUGCAUUCAUAAUAGAAGAGAUAAACUAAAGAGAGGUAGGGGAAAAAAGAAACACAUCACAGAGACCCCAAAUAGCAGAGUCCGGAUACUGUACAUAAACUACGAACAUUCCAACAUCAUUGCAACAAAAAUUUACAAAAAUGAAAACCAGGACAUAAUCGUAACUUUAUAGUAUUCAGAUAGACAUAGAUGGAAGCCAAAAACAAAAAGAAAGAAUGGAAAUGUCAUUAGAAACCCCUCCAGUAGAGGAUGCCCCAAAAAUACCACAUGAACCCGGAACAUUUUGCUAUCACUCACAACCUAACAGAGAGAAUAUAAAUUACGAAAAAGAAUAAGGAACUACAACCCAGAGUAGCAGAGUCCCAAUAUUUCACUAAAACAUAUAAAUUCUCCAAAUCACUGUAACAUAAAUUUGCAAAAGCGGUAGGACAUUACAAUGAAACUUCAACAAUCGAACAACUAGAAAUAAAAGAAAUCAACAAAGGGUAGCACUAAAAAUACUCAUGAGCAACCCGCGCGUGUAGUACAAUUAGUUAGCCCCAAUACUCGAUAAGGUAUGGCAAGUGCAUGAGGAAGACAAUGGUAAGAUGCCGACGUUCAAGAUUCUGACAAGACGACGGCAAAAGGAAGUCAAUAUUAAGAGAUUGAGAGAAGCCAGUGCCGAGGGUUUUAAGUCAGUAUCCUUUGACUUCUCUCUGUGUUUGCGUUGUGUUCGAUUGAUGCUUAGAAGAAAAUUAGGGAUUAGAGUUUAGAGAGCACCAAAACAGUGUGUUUUUUUAUUUUUAAAUUUUAUUUUAUAAUAAAAUAUUUUAAAAUUUUAAUA